This 322-nucleotide ribosomal RNA is filed under the name uncultured Imbricatea. Its description in RNAcentral is "SSU rRNA". The stretch from base 106 to 322 matches the Rfam family "Eukaryotic small subunit ribosomal RNA", at positions 737 to 955 of the family's 1831-position model. The record is from RNAcentral. Lineage: Eukaryota; Cercozoa; Imbricatea.
GAUUUCUGGUACGACAUGUCUGGCCCGCCAGGGUUACCUGCGUGAGUGCCGGCGCGUGUCUGCCAUCCUUCUAGAAAACGGCCUUACCCUUCACUGGGCGGAGGUCGCGAUCUAGAUCUUUUACUUUGAAAAAAUUAGAGUGUUUAAAGCAGGCUUACGCUAUGAAUACAUUAGCAUGGAAUAAUAAUUUAGGACUUCGUCUCUAUUUUGUUGGUUUCUAGAAAUGAAGUAAUGAUUGAUAGGGAUAGUUGGGGGUGCUAGUAUUCAACGGCCAGAGGUGAAAUUCUUGGAUUCGUUGAAGACUAACUUAUGCGAAAGCAUU